This 216-nucleotide ribosomal RNA is filed under the name uncultured bacterium. RNAcentral describes it as "partial 16S ribosomal RNA". It matches the Rfam family "Bacterial small subunit ribosomal RNA", at positions 118 to 351 of the family's 1533-position model. The record is from RNAcentral.
UGGGAACGUGCCCUUUGGUUCGGAACAACUCCGGGAAACUGGAGCUAAUACCGGAUAAGCCCUUCGGGGGAAAGAUUUAUCGCCAAAGGAUCGGCCCGCGUCUGAUUAGCUUGUUGGUGAGAUAAUGGCUCACCAAGGCGACGAUCAGUAGCUGGUCUGAGAGGAUGAUCAGCCACACUGGGACUGAGACACGGCCCAGACUCCUACGGGAGGCAG